This 247-nucleotide long non-coding RNA is filed under the name Mytilus galloprovincialis (Mediterranean mussel). The record is from RNAcentral. Lineage: Eukaryota; Metazoa; Mollusca; Bivalvia; Mytilida; Mytilidae.
UUGUUCGUACCCCAAAGUGAAAAUAACGUUACGUCAUUGGUUGAAUUUCGAUUGUUUAGGACGUUUUAAACCAAUCACCACGCUUUGGUGUACACUUUUGAAAAUAUUACCCAGGAUGCAUUAGAUUCUGAAACGGCGAAAUGUCAACGAAACAAAUAUUCACCAAGGACCGAAUGUCGUUCAUGUAUGCACCUAAUAAUAUUGUGACCUUCAACUUGGAGCCUGGGCUUACAUCGCUUUGUAAGCU